ACCAUUCGAUUCUUUGGUGUUGUAUAUGAUGCAUGACAUCCUGUGCCCACCAUUUCUCUGAUUACUGAGUUUUUAAUAAAUGUUGUCUCGCCUUGUCUUGUUUACUGCUUUUCUAAGGCAUCGCAUUUCACAUGUUGUAAUUCUUUGCUCUAAUGUCUUGUUCGUGGUUUUCGUAGCCAAUAAAAAUGCAGAUAGUCCACUGAUUGGUUUGCUUGCUAGUCGUACUUCACCUGCUUCGUUCUUUUUUCAAGUGGAUGUGUGGACGAGGAACUUUGCAACCACAUCCGGGAAAUUCGCUAUACUGAGAGAUCAUCUUAUUUCGUUGUAUGUAGAUUAUUAAACACAUUUAAAAACUGAUCUUUCUUCCAAGGGAAACCUGUAUAAUUUGCAGCUGCAAUCACUUUGUCAACUAUUUUAUUUAUCUCCCUCCCAGCUCUAUUUCCAAAAGUAGACCGACCAGAGACAUCGUUGGCAAGAGGUUUUCUGGGAACACUAAAUUCUCGGGCUGCUCCAGAGCAGCUUUGUUCACCUUAAACAGCAUAUUAUAAACAGCUUUCUCCAAAUCACUUUAUACAGUUUGGCAUUCUUGUUAUUGAUUUCCUUGCUUGUUUUUCCCAUAAUAAUAGUGGUAAAUCAAACUAAAAUAACAAAUUUUUAAUGGGAAUUCAAUAGACCUGCGUGACGAAUUUCUCUGACAAUAGAGGCAAAUUUCCGGGACAAGGUGUAGAUCUGUGCAAACACAAUUUUUAAACAGUAGAAGGCAUACAAACGACAAUAAAAUGCAGCAAAUAUAAUGUUGAAUCAAUAAAUCAGUUUCCACACAAUUAAAAUUUGAGUAAAAAGUCUUGUACACGUACAGCAACGGUAGUCAGAAAGAUAAAAAAAUAGCGCAGGCGUAGCAGCGAUAGGGCAAGAGAGUAGGAAAGGGAAGCUUAGCGGGAGAACGCAUGUUUAGAAAACCGCCAUUUUUCUUCGGCUUGACAAUUAAUUUUUCUGAUAGGUUGAUCAAUUUUGAUAAAGAAUUGUUUCUGGUCUCAAGUAACUAGGCACUUAUUAAAUUCUUCCUUGGUGGGCAUAUCGAAUUAUUCCCAUUUUAAAUUGGUAAAAGGGGGGGGGGGGGCAGGCUGCGAAUCCCACCCCUCGGGCGAAGUUACCCGACUCAACUCUACAUUUGUUGGGGGGUGACAAAAUUUGUGCAAUCUCUCUCUUGUGAAAAAUAUAGUUUUUAGAAAUGUUUCUGUCAUUGACCUACUACAGUGUGUUUUAAUUUUUAAAAAUUAAAAAAAAAAUGUUUUGUGUGCCCCCCUACCCCCCCCCCCCCUCAUGUCCUAUGGACACAAUUGACAUAAUUUAGGAGUCGGGCUUCCGACCCUGUGUUUCAGGGCCGUCCCGGGCCGAGAGGGAUAAAACAACCCUGUAGAAAGACCGAGAUACUUGAUAAAAAUUCUCCCCAACCAAGAAUCGAACUCGUGUUUCCUGCGUGAGACAGCGAAGCACCUAAGCGCUGGACAGCAGACACAGGUAGAGUGUUUUAAAGUAUUUUUGGCAACUAAAAUAAAUUACGAAAACGAAAUUUGUGUUCCCGAUUUGGGUUUCCCUGUCCUGCAACCCUCUAUUCUCCACCACUACCAACGCCAGCUUUCCCGUGAAAACGUCUUUUGUCGAAAAUGGCCUAGAAACACCCACCCUCCCCUACUCAAACAGUUACCCGCCGUCCCGCUACCCAGAAAAAAUGAUCUCCUUAGAAAACGGUUGUGAAUAGCCGAAAUAGCUAAAGUUUUGUUAAAGGAACCCCGCCUCUUUUCUUGUAGCAGUUGGUGUUUAUUUAAAAGUUGACAGAAGCCAUCUCAACGCCUGUCUCUUUCAGAGCUUGGCUGCAGCGACUACUGUACUUUGUUAAGCAGUAUUUGAACGUGUGGCUCGGGACGAUGGCAAACUACCGGCGUCUUACUGUUGCUCUGCUUACUGUACUCUUUUUGCCAAUGAUUUGCAGAGCUUGUUCUAAGUCAUCGCCCAGGCCGAUAGAGUAUGAAAAAAAGCUGUGUAAAUACAGAACGCAAAUCAUGACUGGCUUUCCAAACGAAACCAUAUCUGAGCAGUCUUUGAAAAAUCCCUCGUGUUCUACGGCAUUCUCUUCCGUCUUUGAAACCAAGACCUCUGUGGAAGACUGGUCGAAAGUGCUUGAUAAGAAGAACAGGUGGGCAUCUUGUCCUCAGGGUCAUUUCUUGCAAGGAUUCAAGUUCAUAAAAGGGGGGUCAGGCGUGUCGUCGCUGGAAGGGGGGUGGUGUGUGAAAUUCAACAAGUUGUCGAACGUGUACGACCACUGUUAUCUUCAACACACUAAGACAUCCACAAACUGCAGCGUUGACUACUUUCUGACAGGUAUCUACCGGGGGGACUGUUCGGACUGGGCCUGCAUAUCCAAAUUGCAGUGCUGUACCAUGACAUCUUCCUUUACGGUAGAUUCUGUUGAAACUGGUAAGGAAAAAGUCAUGAUGCAGUCUCUUAAUGGACUGGCUCAACUAGCGUCGAGUUUGGGCUACAAUGGGGUCAAGGGUUGUGAUGGAGAACUGCCUGGAGACAACUUUGAGAAACAUGGAUACUCCUGGGUCGCAACGAAGUGUGCGGGAGAUAACAGUCCCAAGUUGAAAACCACGUUUGAUGACUGGUCAGUCAGCCUGAAUGAUAUCAAAUACUCGCAAGCUAAGACAACUGAGCUAUUACCACAGACAAUAGACAGGGGCGUUUUGGUGAAUGACAGUCCCACGACAGUUACCGAAAAGAUAAUCAGAAAUGAUAAAAGUAUCCGUACUGUGACACACUCGCUAACAAGUUCUUGGAAAGUAUCUGUUGGCUUUGAAAUGGAAGUGACAUACGAACCUCCACUUUUCACUGGAGGAGUAGGGGGUAAAUUCAGCUUUAGCAUAAAUACGGAGACAGGAAAAGAAACACACGAUGGAACUGAGAACUCCCUAGAUCGGUCGAUUCAGGUGGAGAGGGAGAAAACAAUGGGACCUUAUUCGGCAUCUGAAUGGGUGGCCAGGAUGUAUAAAACCCGCACAACACAGUAUUACAGGGCAACAUAUCGCCUCGGGUGCUCGGUCCAGUUUGAUGGGGAUCUACGGAAUAUCAACUAUCACAAAACUACACUGGACAGUCUGCUAGCAAUGUCAAGUAUCAGUUUGGCGAUGAAGACAAGCCGUUUUACGUUGCUGUGAAAGAGGAGAGGGACCACUGGCACGAUCCUUGGUUGUGGGGUGUUUUGAUCGAACAAAACCCGUGGGUGAACAACAUCGUGGCAUAUCUGGCGUCAACAGAGCAGUAUGAGAUAGUGCUGGAAGGAAAAUUUGAUGACAUUCAGGGAUACAGAGUAGAAAUAGAAUUUGGCAACCACACUGACUUGCCCCGAUCGGAACUCAAUGGUGCUCACGCCGUGCCUAGUGUACAUUUCAGAAGGGAAGUGGGAAAAGGACAUGACAAAGUCAUUGUCGCAAAAGAGGGACCCCGAGACGCUCCUUCUGGCUUUACGCCCGUUUUCAACGAAAAGAGGGACGCAAAUUCUUUUCUUGAAGGAGCAACGGAAAUACCAACUACCUGAUUCUCCAUCUUCUACCGGACUGGUCAAUACAAGUAGCUACUGUUGCUGUCGAAAUGAUGACGUUUAAAUUCCUUUCAAUAUUCAAGUCAAGUUCAAAUAAGUAAACGAACGUGUCACUUUGUAUUUUUUUAAAUUAAAAAAACCCAAACAUUCCACGGGCAAAACAAUAUGUGUUGUUUUCGUGCCGUUUUGCUUCCAUAUUGUGAAUUUGCAUUACAUUCAAAGGUUGAAGUGCCAUAAAACUAAAACAAGGGAUCUCAAGGUCACAGAAAACAAAUUGCCUACUUAUAAUUUGUGAUAUGGAAAUGGAAUGUUGAAAAUUUCACUCUCAUUGUGUCAUUAUUUUAAAAUGUUUGUUAGUGAUGAAUGCAACCUAAGAAACUAAAUAUGUCUGACAAUGCAAUUUUUGACACUUUAGUGACAGCUGGCGCUCAUAUCACCUUAUGCAGUUACGAGCGCCGUAAAACCUCUACUAAAACUUUUUAAAAACACAACUUUAGUGACAGUAUUGGUCUAAUUAAUUUCUAACACAUCUAGCUUUUGGUGUAUGUCUUUGCAACAUAUGUUUUGAAAAUAUAAAUAUUUGCUUUAUUCAUACAAAAAUAUUUUAGUUCUCUAGAUAUCAGAUAAUGUGAAAUAUUUUUAGUCACUAGAAGAUAACUUUAGAACAUAAUAUAACCUUUUCCCGAUGUUGAUGAAACUAAUAUCGAAUUUCUCGUUUCUACUAGUGGUUUCUGAUAGAAAUAGAAAAUGUUCAACCAAUUUAAAAAUCACAAAUGGUACCUUAUGAUUUUUACAACAAGCAAGUUUGUUUGGCUUCAUGUACAUAUGUAUGGUUUUUUUUCUCCUAAAAAUAGUGAAUACCAUAGCAGGUCGGCUUAGAGUCCUGGCACGAUGCAGAGACGGUGUACCACAGAGACAGCUUAGUUAAAUAUUUUCCUCAGUAAAGCGGCUCUCUUUGGUUCCCUCGCGACUCUUACAAACGACGUACAGACUGAAGACGGGAAAAGCCUGUCACUCUGGGUUCCACUUUACAUUGUAGUUCUUUGGUUUUGGGGCUUACUCUAAAAGAUUUCCAAGUGCAUUUCAGUCAGGUUUUUAGUGAAAUGACUAUUUUUUUGGACAACUUGCAAUGUAGACUUGAUUAAUUGUUUGUUUCUAUGGGAAUAAAUUGAGUGAAAGGCAGUACUUAAAGAAUACUAGUUUCUGGAAAGGAGAUCUUAAUUUUUUUUUCUCGAAAUUGUGGACUCCAUUCAGCUCUAUUUUUUUCAAAACCCGAAAUAUUGACGAGACAGUCUCUAGGUAUUCUGCUAUCUCGUAAAAUCAAGCCUGAGAGAAAAGUAAGAUUUUAAGCUUUUGUUGUUUAGAAACAAAAAAGGGAACCAAAUAUAUUAGUGACAAAAGCUUCGAACUUCGUCAUUUCGACGAAAGCUGGCAGAACCUUAAAGGACUUCAGAAGUAUUUCGUUCCGAGAUGAGGAAAAAUCGAAAGUUGCUUUUAGGUAUUCGACAACGUUUUGAUACCCCUUUCCAAUCGGUUUCUCAAUUUGAGCCUGUCCCCAAUUAUUCCUCAAUAGAGAAUAGCUUAAGUAAGACAUCUUCCUCCUCCCUGGCCUGGUGGGAUAACCAUGUAUUAUGAAGCAACACUCCUGUUUGUACUCUAACCAAUUGUUGAGCAACUUUGAAACCAGCAAGUAAACAUCAAUAUUGCAAAAUGCUAAUUCAAUUUAUGAAGUUAAUGCUUAUUUACUUAAAAAACGUAAGAGUACCUAAAGGCCCCUACUUGAUAUUUCGUGUAGCUCUCACGACUUCAUCACUCCUUCUCUCUUUCUUAUGUGACAACCGUGAUUUCCCCCACGGCAUGCUAUAGUGACAGUGGCCUGUUUCUUGUUGCUCACCUAUGAAUUGUUUUGUUGUGGUGUAAGUUGUGAGUGUCCUCCCUUGCACGCGCAUUCGUCUAUGUGAGUGUGUGUCCUCGCGUGUUUGUGCGUUUACACAAGUGCGUUUGUGUCUUCAAAAUAAUGCACAUUGUUCAUGUUAAACUUUCUUAUGAUGUGCUGUGCUUAUGGCUACGUUUUACCGGCGAGGUUUUAAAUUUUUUUUUUUGAUUUAAAGUACAGAUUAUGUAGUAAAAUAUUAAUCCACUGGAAUUGAGGAACGAAAUGUGCACAAAAGUAAGCCCUGGACAUAGGGUUUCGGAUAUCUUAAGGCUAAAGCUAUGUGUUUUACCUGCAAACACAAUGAAUAGCCUAUAUGUGCAAAAUAUACUGCAAUUUUAGAUUAAGUUCCAUUUCCCAUUGUCUUUUCCUCUUAGUUUUUGUGUGUUGCACUAGAGUAUAUUAUAUUAAGGUGUAGUUCUUUUCCUUCCUAGGGCUUAUUAAAUACAUUAAAACAA
Molecule: RNA transcript, 5992 nt
Organism: Aplysia californica (California sea hare)
Lineage: Eukaryota; Metazoa; Mollusca; Gastropoda; Aplysiida; Aplysiidae
Exons: 2
Source: RefSeq, a predicted model, not a curated record